This 490-nucleotide ribosomal RNA is filed under the name uncultured bacterium. RNAcentral describes it as "bacterial SSU rRNA". It matches the Rfam family "Bacterial small subunit ribosomal RNA", at positions 202 to 713 of the family's 1533-position model. The record is from RNAcentral.
GAAACGUUUUUUCGCUAAAGGAUGAGACUAUAUGGUAUCAGGUAGUUGGUAGGGUAAGAGCCUACCAAGCCAAUGACGCCUAGCUGGUCUGAGAGGAUGAUCAGCCACACNGGAACUGAGACACGGUCCAGACUCCUACGGGAGGCAGCAGUGGGGAAUAUUGCACAAUGGGGGAAACCCUGAUGCAGCAACGCCGCGUGGAGGAUGACGCAUUUCGGUGUGUAAACUCCUUUUAUAUAGGAAGAUAAUGACGGUACUAUAUGAAUAAGCACCGGCUAACUCCGUGCCAGCAGCCGCGGUAAUACGGAGGGUGCAAGCGUUACUCGGAAUCACUGGGCGUAAAGCGCGCGCAGGCGGCCUUUUAAGUUGGAUGUGAAAGCCUAUGGCUCAACCAUAGAACUGCAUCCAAAACUAUUAGGCUAGAGUGUGGGAGAGGAAGAUGGAAUUAGUUGUGUAGGGUNAAAUCCGUAGAGAUACUAGGAAUACCAAA